GAUGAACGCUAGCUACAUGCUUAACACAUGCAAGUCGAGGGACCGGCGCACGGGUGAGUAACACGUAUCCAACCUGCCCUUUACUCGGGGAUAGCCUUACGAAAGAAAGAUUAAUACCCGUUGUAAAGGAUGGGGAUGCGUUCCAUUAGGUUGUUGGUGAGGUAACGGCUCACCAAGCCUUCGAUGGAUAGGGGUUCGGAGAGGAAGGUCCCCCGCAUUGGAACUGAGGCCCGGACCAAACUCCUACGGGAGGCAGCAGUAAGGAAGAUUGUUGAAUAGGCUUUAGCCUGAACAAGCCAAGUAGCGGGAAGGAUGAAGGCGUAUGGAUCGUAAGCUGCUUGUAUAUAAGAAUAGGUAUUAUAUGAAUAAGGAUCGGCUAACUCCGUGCCAGCAGCCGCGGUAAUAC
Molecule: ribosomal RNA, 406 nt
Filed under: uncultured bacterium
Lineage: Bacteria
Description: partial 16S ribosomal RNA
Rfam family: Bacterial small subunit ribosomal RNA
Source: RNAcentral